Long non-coding RNA from Oncorhynchus tshawytscha (Chinook salmon), 913 nucleotides. The record is from Ensembl. NCBI's taxonomy places the organism in Eukaryota, Metazoa, Chordata, Actinopteri, Salmoniformes, Salmonidae.
CCCCCAGUACCCUGCCCUGAACCUUAGUGACUGUUACUAGCCUACCCCAUACCCUGCCCUGAACCUUAGUGACUGUUACUAGCCUCCCCCAGUACCCUGCCCUGAACCUUAGUGUCUGUUACUAGCCGGACUCCACCCAGUACCCUGCCCUGAACCUUAGUGACUGUUACUAGCCUCCCCCAGUACCCUGCCCUGAACCUUAGUGACUGUUACUAGCCUCCCCCAGUACCCUGCCCUGAACCUUAGUGACUGUUACUAGCCUCCCCCAGUACCCUGCCCUGAACCUUAGUGACUGUUACUAGCCUCCCCCAGUACCCUGCCCUGAACCUUAGUGACUGUUACUAGCCUCCCCUAGUACCCUGCGCCGAACCUUAGUGACUGUUACUAGCCGGACUCCACCCAGUACCCUGCCCUGAACCUUAGUGACUGUUACUAGCCAGCUACCACUGAGUACCCUGCCCUGAACCUUAGUCACUGUUACUAGCCAGCUACCACUCAGUACCCUGUACCUUAGCCACUGUUACUAGCCAGCUACCACUCAGUACCCUGCCCCGAACCUUAGUGACUGUUACUAGCCAGCUACCACUCAGUACCCUGGCCUGAACCUUAAUGACUGUUACUAGCCGGACUCCACACAGUACCUUGCCCUGAACCUUAGUGACUGUUACUAGCCAGCUACCAAUCGGUACCCUGCCCUGAACCUUAGUGACUGUUACUAGCCGGCCUCCACCCAGUACCCUGCCCUGAACCUUAGUGACUGUUACUAGCCAGCUACCACUUAGUACCCUGCCCUGAACCUUAGUGACUGUUACUAGCCAGCUACCAAGCAGUACCCUGCCCUGAACCUUAGUGACUGUUACUAGCCUCCCCCAGUACCCUGCCCUGAAACUUAGUGACUGUUACUAGCCUCCCC